AGUGAACGCUGGCGGUAGGCCUAACACAUGCAAGUCGAACGGCAGCACAGGAGAGCUUGCUCUCUGGGUGGCGAGUGGCGGACGGGUGAGGCAUACAUCGGAAUCUGCCCAGUCGUGGGGGAUAACGUAGGGAAACUUACGCUACUACCGCAUACGACCUUCGGGUGAAAGAGGGGGGUCGCAAGACCUCUCGCGAUUGGAUGAGCCGAUGUCGGAGUAGCUAGUUGGCGGGGUAAUGGCCCACAGAGGCGGCGAUCCGUAGCUGGUCUGAGAGGAUGGUCAGCCACACUGGAGCUGAGACACGGUCCAGACUCCUACGGGAGGCAGCAGUGGGGAAUAUUAGACAAUGGGCGCAAGCCUGAUCCAGCCAGACCGCGUGGGUGAAGAAGGCCUUCGGGUUGUAAAGCCCUUUUGUUGGGAAAGAAAUCUUUCAGGCUAAUACCCUGGGAGGAUGACGGUACCCAAAGAAUAAGCACCGGCUAACUUCGUG
RNAcentral lists this ribosomal RNA (490 nucleotides) under uncultured bacterium. RNAcentral's name for it is "partial 16S ribosomal RNA". It matches the Rfam family "Bacterial small subunit ribosomal RNA", at positions 29 to 507 of the family's 1533-position model. The record is from RNAcentral.